GUUCAGGAUGGCCGAGUGGUUAUGGCGUCAGACUAAAAAUCUGACUCACGUUUGUGAGCGUAGGUUCGAAUCCUGCUCCUGACG
This 84-nucleotide transfer RNA is filed under the name Caerostris extrusa. RNAcentral describes it as "tRNA-Phe". It matches the Rfam family "tRNA". From Rfam's summary of the family: Transfer RNA (tRNA) molecules are approximately 80 nucleotides in length. Their secondary structure includes four short double-helical elements and three loops (D, anti-codon, and T loops). The record is from RNAcentral. Lineage: Eukaryota; Metazoa; Arthropoda; Arachnida; Araneae; Araneidae.